This 253-nucleotide ribosomal RNA is filed under the name uncultured bacterium. RNAcentral describes it as "partial 16S ribosomal RNA". It matches the Rfam family "Bacterial small subunit ribosomal RNA", at positions 524 to 776 of the family's 1533-position model. The record is from RNAcentral.
GACAGAGGUGCCGAGCGUUAGGCGGAAUCACUGGGCUUAAAGCGUGUGUAGGCGGGUCGUUAAGUGUCUUGUGAAAUCCCCCGGCUCAACCGGGGAAUGGCUGGGCAUACUGGCGAUCUUGAGCAGGCUAGGGGCAGAUGGAACAAGUGGUGGAGCGGUGAAAUGCGUAGAUAUCACUUGGAACGCCAAAGGUGAAAACAGUCUGCUGGGGACUUGCUGACGCUGAGACACGAAAGCCAGGGGAGCGAACGGG